Manduca sexta (tobacco hornworm) is the source of this 163-nucleotide long non-coding RNA. RefSeq lists it as uncharacterized. The record is from RefSeq and is a predicted model, not a curated record. The transcript is spliced from 3 exons. NCBI's taxonomy places the organism in Eukaryota, Metazoa, Arthropoda, Insecta, Lepidoptera, Sphingidae.
UCACCGCUUAUUUAAUUGCAACAAAUGUAAUCGUGGGCUGCAAGAGGAGCCAAAAUGAAAAUUUAUAUAUUUUUGUUAUAUUUGAUUUAUUAUAACAAUGCAGCCCGGGCAUUAUACGUUAAUCGAAAUAGUGAAGAAAGAAACGGUAGCGAAGAAAAAACAA